GACAACAAGCAACCCCAGACUAGAGACAGGAUCCUUCUCCCCACUUCGAGCAGAUCCCAGCAUGAAUCCUGCAGUAUGGUGAUGGCAAAAGUCAGUGCAGGACCACUGGGACUCCUGGAGCUUCUCACAUCUCUGAGAGCACCAGCAGCAGAAAUUAGAAUUAAAGGAAUCAGAAUUGAAGUGAAUCUGACUACACUAAGCCUAUCACUUGUGACAGCCAUGGGAAGAUAUCAUUGGUUGCUGAGGAGCAGAAAUAAGCAGAGACCUAUUGUGUUAGGUUAUCAUUCAUUUCAGUAACAGAAAUAAUCUAUUCAGAGUCAUGGAAAAAACAGAGUGGGCUGUUGGAAUUGGAAAGAAACAAACAAAAAGCAGAUCAGCAAGUUUUCAUAUUGCACUAUUUUCAAUGGCUGGAGCAUCAACAUUUUACAACAAGAAAAAAAUUAAAAUUCUUCAACAUUUGGAAAAGAAGUGUUUGUAAAACUUUUCACAUCCAUUCACCAUCCGGAAAAGCAAGGUUUUACAGUGAGGCCUGAUGAUGUCUAGAGUCACCAUGCAUCUUGGAAAAUGACCUCCUAUUUAUUUCUUCUACAGGACACCAUGGUGUUCACCUUUCUACAACUUUACACUUGCUGAGGACAUAUUGUGGAAAAUUAAGAGAAAUAUAUAUGGAUGGCCAAGGC
This 680-nucleotide long non-coding RNA is filed under the name Homo sapiens (human). Its description in RNAcentral is "long intergenic non-protein coding RNA 2207". Lineage: Eukaryota; Metazoa; Chordata; Mammalia; Primates; Hominidae. The record is from RNAcentral.